RNAcentral lists this transfer RNA (81 nucleotides) under Anaerolineaceae bacterium. RNAcentral's name for it is "tRNA-Leu". It matches the Rfam family "tRNA". Rfam says of the family: Transfer RNA (tRNA) molecules are approximately 80 nucleotides in length. Lineage: Bacteria; Bacillati; Chloroflexota; Anaerolineae; Anaerolineales; Anaerolineaceae. The record is from RNAcentral.
GCCGAGAUGGUGGAAUGGUAUACACGGAUGUCUCAAACACAUCUGCCUUCGGGCUUGUGGGUUCGAAUCCCACUCUCGGCA